CCUACGGGAGGCAGCAGUGAGGAAUUUUCUGCAAUGGGCGAAAGCCUGACAGAGCAAUACCGCGUGAGGGAAGAAGGCUUACUGAGUUGUAAACCUCGGUGCCUUAAGGAAGAAGAUCUGACGGUACUUAAGGUGGAAAGCAUCGGCUAACCCCGUGCCAGCAGCCGCGGUAAGACGGGGGAUGCAAGUGUUAUCCGGAAUUACUGGGCGUAAAGCGUCUGCAGGUGGUUUCUUAAGUCCACUGUUAAACCUUGAGGCUCAACCUCAAAUCUGCAGUGGAAACUAGGGAACUUGAGGAUAGUAGGGGUAGAGGGAAUUUCCAGUGGAGCGGUGAAAUGCGUAGAUAUUGGAAAGAACACCGAUGGCGAAGGCACUCUACUGGGCUAUGACUGACACUCAGAGACGAAAGCUAGGGGAGCAAAUGGGAUUAGAUACCCCAGUAGUCCUAGCCGUAAACGAUGGAUACUCGAUGUUGGACGUAUCGACCCGUUCAGUAUCUUAGCUAACGCGUUAAGUAUCCCGCUGGGGAGUACGCUCGCAGAGUGAAACUUAAGGAAUUGACGG
Molecule: ribosomal RNA, 564 nt
Filed under: uncultured bacterium
Lineage: Bacteria
Description: bacterial SSU rRNA
Rfam family: Bacterial small subunit ribosomal RNA
Source: RNAcentral